GCCGUAUUUUGGAAACAUUUUUCAUUUCUCGCUCUCCCUGCCCUUAAUUUCUCAUCCACUGUCCACUCCUGCCUCCAGGUCUCUCUCUCUCUCCAUAAGUUUUGUCAACUGUUUUAUAACAUUCAAAAAAUAACAAACCAACAAACUAUACCAUACACACAAGCGAUUAGCGCAUUAUACAUCACAGCCCAAAUUUCUCUCUUCCCCGAUC
RNAcentral lists this unclassified non-coding RNA (211 nucleotides) under Hevea brasiliensis (rubber tree). Lineage: Eukaryota; Viridiplantae; Streptophyta; Magnoliopsida; Malpighiales; Euphorbiaceae. The record is from RNAcentral.